GGAUGUGAGGGCGAUCUGGCUGUGACAUUGAUCGCCAGUGUUGAUUUGGCUGAUCUGGCUGCCUAGGUGGGUGUCCCUUGCUGCUCCAUGUGCGUCCCACCCGAAGCUGCACGCUCGGUCAAAGAGGACGACCUUCCCCAAUAGAGCCGUGUACCCUGACAGAGGCGUGUACCGUUCAUCAGUCAAGGGUACACGGUAGCUGCGGUCCCCUGCUAGAACCUCCAAACAAGCUCAAGGUCUAUUCGUAGGAGAACAUAGGGUAGUCAAGCUUCCCAGACUGCAGACACAUCCAACUGAGGCGCCACAUGGAGCAGUCUGCAGUAAAUU
RNAcentral lists this small nuclear RNA (327 nucleotides) under Apaloderma vittatum (bar-tailed trogon). RNAcentral describes it as "7SK RNA". It matches the Rfam family "7SK RNA". From Rfam's summary of the family: 7SK was discovered as an abundant small nuclear RNA in the mid-70s but a possible function has only recently been suggested. Two independent studies have found that 7SK RNA binds the CDK9/cyclin T complex (known as elongation factor P-TEFb). The record is from Rfam by way of RNAcentral. Lineage: Eukaryota; Metazoa; Chordata; Aves; Trogoniformes; Trogonidae.